CGGGGUAUAGCGCAGUCUGGUAGCGCGCCUGCUUUGGGAGCAGGAUGUCGGGGGUUCAAAUCCUUCUACCCCGACCA
This 77-nucleotide transfer RNA is filed under the name Ahniella affigens. RNAcentral describes it as "tRNA-Pro". It matches the Rfam family "tRNA". Rfam says of the family: Transfer RNA (tRNA) molecules are approximately 80 nucleotides in length. The record is from RNAcentral. Lineage: Bacteria; Pseudomonadati; Pseudomonadota; Gammaproteobacteria; Lysobacterales; Rhodanobacteraceae.